RNAcentral lists this ribosomal RNA (254 nucleotides) under uncultured bacterium. RNAcentral's name for it is "partial 16S ribosomal RNA". It matches the Rfam family "Bacterial small subunit ribosomal RNA", at positions 524 to 776 of the family's 1533-position model. The record is from RNAcentral.
UACGUAGGGACCAAGCGUUGUUCGGAUUUACUGGGCGUAAAGGGCGCGUAGGCGGUCAGCACAAGUCAGUUGUGAAAUCUCCGAGCUUAACUCGGAAAGGUCAACUGAUACUGUGCGACUAGAGUGCAGAAGGGGCAACUGGAAUUCUUGGUGUAGCGGUGAAAUGCGUAGAUAUCAAGAGGAACACCUGCGGCGAAGGCGGGUUGCUGGGCUGACACUGACGCUGAAGCGCGAAAGCCAGGGGAGCGAACGGG